GAUCGGGAUGAGCCGGGGAGUCAAGACCCAGCUGAGAGGACUGUGACCCUGGUGGAGAUUUUGGGGCACCUGAAGGCCCCGGGGGAGUCCCUGCGGCUCCUCUGCCGCGCCUCCGGCUUCACCUUCGGCAGCUACGACAUGAACUGGGUGCGCCAGAGCCCCGGGAAGGGGCUGGAAUACGUCGCAAGUAUCGACAGCACUGGUUCCAGCACCAACUACGCGCCGUCGGUGCGGGGCCGGUUCACCAUCACCAGGGACAACGGGCAGAGCUCGGUGACGCUGCAGAUGAACAACCUCAGGGAGGAGGAUUCCGCCACCUAUUUCUGCGCCAAACGUGACACUGCCUCUGGUGCUGGUGCUGUUUCUGCUAUCGACGCCCUUGGUGGGGCCCCCACAUGUCCCCAAACCAGACCAUUGAGGUCAGUGACCAAGAGUUUGGGUCAGUGGUUGAUGUUUGGGGCCAAAGGUUGA
Non-coding RNA from Pseudopipra pipra, 471 nucleotides. The record is from the annotation of a RefSeq genome assembly. NCBI's taxonomy places the organism in Eukaryota, Metazoa, Chordata, Aves, Passeriformes, Pipridae.